AUGUUAGUGUGGAAUGUGCGCGGCCUCAAUAAUCGAGCUCGGCGUACGGGUGUUCGGAGCCUCGUCAGUUCAACAGGCACUUCCAUUGUCUGUUUGCAGGAGACUAAGUUGGCAGUUGUAACCCCUACUAUAGUUAUGGAAGACUUUGGUGCGGAUUUUGAUGAUUAUUCUGCUUGCUUUUCGACAAAGGGCAUCUUUAUUGACUCACAAUGA
This 213-nucleotide ribosomal RNA is filed under the name Triticum aestivum (bread wheat). Its description in RNAcentral is "partial small subunit ribosomal RNA". The record is from RNAcentral. Lineage: Eukaryota; Viridiplantae; Streptophyta; Magnoliopsida; Poales; Poaceae.